UAUAAACGAUAAACCACGUAAAAUCUUUCUUAUUCUUGUAAAGUUAGUAUACCUUCAUUACAGAUAAUUUUGAUUGAUUAAUUAUUGUAAUUGGUUCAUAAACCAAGUAAAUUAGAUCAAGGUGCUGCAGAUGGAUAAGUAAAAAUGGGUUACAAUGGUUUUUAACGUUAAGCGGAGUGUGUUCAGGAUGGAUAUAUGAAGAUGGAUUCAAUUGUAAUUUUAACUUUAAUAAGGUAAAGUGGUAUUAG
Molecule: ribosomal RNA, 248 nt
Filed under: Panulirus regius
Lineage: Eukaryota; Metazoa; Arthropoda; Malacostraca; Decapoda; Palinuridae
Description: partial 12S ribosomal RNA
Source: RNAcentral